UAAAACUCUAAAUGCAAACAGUGGGUUUAGGUUUUAUAUCCAACCCCAAAACUCCAAAUAAUGACCGUGGGUUUAGGUUUUAUUUCCAACCCCAAAACUCCAAAUGCAAACAGUGGAUUUAGGUUUUAUUUCCAAACCCCAAAACUCCAAAUAAUGACAGUGGGUUUAGGUUUUAUUUCCAAACCCCAUAACUCCAAAUGCAAACAGUGGACUUAGGUUUUAUUUUCAAACCCAAAAUUCCAAAUAAUGACAGUGGGUUUAGGUUUUAUUUCUAAUUCCCAAAACUCUAAAUAAAAUCAGUGGAUUUAGGUUUAGUUUCCAAACCCCAAACUCCAAAUGCAAACAGUGGGUUUAGGUUUUAUUUCCAAACCCCAUAACUCCAAAUGCAAACAGUGGACUUAGGUUUUAUUUUCAAACCCAAAACUCCAAAUAAUGACAGUGGAUUUAGGUUUUAUUUUCAAACCCCAAACUCUAAAUAAUGACAAUGGGUUUAGGUUUUAUUUCCAAACCCCAAAACCCAAAUGAAAACAGUGGGUUUAGGUUUUAUUUCCAAACCCCAAAGUCCAAAUGCAAACAGUGGGUUUAGGUUUUAUUUCCAACCCCAAAACUCUAAAUGAAAACAGGGGUUUGCAGAUCAAACCCCAAAGCUCUAAAUAAAAACAGGAGUUU
Long non-coding RNA from Corapipo altera (White-ruffed manakin), 669 nucleotides. RefSeq lists it as uncharacterized. The transcript has 4 exons. The record is from RefSeq and is a predicted model, not a curated record. Lineage: Eukaryota; Metazoa; Chordata; Aves; Passeriformes; Pipridae.